RNAcentral lists this ribosomal RNA (255 nucleotides) under uncultured bacterium. Its description in RNAcentral is "partial 16S ribosomal RNA". It matches the Rfam family "Bacterial small subunit ribosomal RNA", at positions 524 to 776 of the family's 1533-position model. The record is from RNAcentral.
UACGUAGGGCGCAAGCGUUAUCCGGAAUUAUUGGGCGUAAAGAGCUCGUAGGCGGUUUGUCGCGUCUGCCGUGAAAGUCCGGGGGCUCAACUCCGGAUCUGCGGUGGGUACGGGCAGACUAGAGUGAUGUAGGGGAGACUGGAAUUCCUGGUGUAGCGGUGAAUGCGCAGAUAUCAGGAGGAACACCGAUGGCGAAGGCAGGUCUCUGGGCAUUAAACUGACGGCUGAGGAGCGAAAGCAUGGGGAGCGAACAGG